ACACCUCCAAGGCUGUGUAAGGGCUAUUUGACCAUGAAGGAGAGUCAUGGGGUGCUGCGUCAGAUGGCCUGGCAUCCACAGUCACUGGACCUGAACCCAAUCAAGAUGGUUUGGGGUGAGCUGGACCGCAGAGUGAAGGCAAAAGGGCCAACAAGUGCUAAGCAUCUCUGCGAACUCCUUCAAGACUGUUG
Molecule: long non-coding RNA, 191 nt
Organism: Bufo bufo (common toad)
Lineage: Eukaryota; Metazoa; Chordata; Amphibia; Anura; Bufonidae
Exons: 3
Source: RefSeq, a predicted model, not a curated record